ACGGAAGGCAGCAUUGAGGAAUAUUGGUCAAUGGGCGGAAGCCUGAACCAGCCAAGUCGCGUGAAGGAUGAAGGUAUUAUGUAUUGUAAACUUCUUUAGACGCAGAGAAAUAAGCGGGACGUGUCCCGCGAUGCUAGUAUGCGUAGAAUAAGGAUCGGCUAACUCCGUGCCAGCAGCCGCGGUAAUACGGAGGAUCCGAGCGUUAUCCGGAUUUAUUGGGUUUAAAGGGUGCGCAGGCGGUCGAUUAAGUCAGUGGUCAAAUCACGGUGCUCAACGCCGUUCCGCCAUUGAUACUGGUUGACUUGAUUCCGGUCGAGGCAGGCGGAAUUCGUAGUGUAGCGGUGAAAUGCAUAGAUAUUACGAAGAACUCCAAUUGCGUAGGCAGCUUACCAGGCCGGCAAUGACGCUCAUGCACGAAAGUGCGGGGAUCGAACAGGAUUAGAUACCCUGGUA
This 453-nucleotide ribosomal RNA is filed under the name uncultured Porphyromonadaceae bacterium. RNAcentral describes it as "bacterial SSU rRNA". It matches the Rfam family "Bacterial small subunit ribosomal RNA", at positions 341 to 792 of the family's 1533-position model. The record is from RNAcentral. Lineage: Bacteria; Pseudomonadati; Bacteroidota; Bacteroidia; Bacteroidales; Porphyromonadaceae.